GAUGAACGCUGGCGGCGUGCCUAAUACAUGCAAGUCGAGCGAACAGACGAGGAGCUUGCUCCUCUGACGUUAGCGGCGGACGGGUGAGUAACACGUGGAUAACCUACCUAUAAGACUGGGAUAACUUCGGGAAACCGGAGCUAAUACCGGAUAAUAUAUUGAACCGCAGGGUUCAAUAGUGAAAGACGGUUUUGCUGUUACUUAUAGAUGGAUCCGCGCCGCAUUAGCUAGUUGGUAAGGUAACGGCUUACCAAGGCAACGAUGCGUAGCCGACCUGAGAGGGUGAUCGGCCACACUGGAACUGAGACACGGUCCAGACUCCUACGGGAGGCAGCAGUAGGGAAUCUUCCGCAAUGGGCGAAAGCCUGACGGAGCAACGCCGCGUGAGUGAUGAAGGUCUUCGGAUCGUAAAACUCUGUUAUUAGGGAAGAACAAAUGUGUAAGUAACUAUGCACGUCUUGACGGUACCUAAUCAGAAAGCCACGGCUAACUACGUG
RNAcentral lists this ribosomal RNA (497 nucleotides) under uncultured bacterium. RNAcentral's name for it is "partial 16S ribosomal RNA". It matches the Rfam family "Bacterial small subunit ribosomal RNA", at positions 28 to 507 of the family's 1533-position model. The record is from RNAcentral.